Molecule: transfer RNA, 77 nt
Filed under: Vulcanisaeta sp. JCHS_4
Lineage: Archaea; Thermoproteati; Thermoproteota; Thermoprotei; Thermoproteales; Thermoproteaceae
Also listed under: 1 other name
Description: tRNA-Met
Rfam family: tRNA
About the family: Transfer RNA (tRNA) molecules are approximately 80 nucleotides in length. Their secondary structure includes four short double-helical elements and three loops (D, anti-codon, and T loops). Further hydrogen bonds mediate the characteristic L-shaped molecular structure. tRNAs have two regions of fundamental functional importance: the anti-codon, which is responsible for specific mRNA codon recognition, and the 3' end, to which the tRNAs corresponding amino acid is attached (by aminoacyl-tRNA synthetases). tRNAs cope with the degeneracy of the genetic code in two manners: having more than one tRNA (with a specific anti-codon) for a particular amino acid; and 'wobble' base-pairing, i.e. permitting non-standard base-pairing at the 3rd anti-codon position.
Source: RNAcentral
AGCGGGGUAGGGUAGCCUGGUAGCCUGCGGGGCUCAUAACCCCGAGGUCCUGGGUUCAAAUCCCAGCCCCGCUACCA